Molecule: ribosomal RNA, 424 nt
Filed under: uncultured cyanobacterium
Lineage: Bacteria; Bacillati; Cyanobacteriota
Description: bacterial SSU rRNA
Rfam family: Bacterial small subunit ribosomal RNA
Source: RNAcentral
GGGGAAUUUUCCGCAAUGGGCGCAAGCCUGACGGAGCAACGCCGCGUGAGGGAUGAAGGCCUCUGGGCUGUAAACCUCUUUUCUCAAGGAAGAAGAUCUGACGGUACUUGAGGAAUAAGCCACGGCUAAUUCCGUGCCAGCAGCCGCGGUAAUGCGGGAGUGGCAAGCGUUAUCCGGAAUUAUUGGGCGUAAAGCGUCCGCAGGCGGCCUUGAAAGUCUGCUGUUAAAGAGUGUAGCUUAACUACAUAAAGGCGGUGGAAACUGCAUCACUAGAGUACGUUCGGGGCAGAGGGAAUUCCUGGUGUAGCGGUGAAAUGCGUAGAUAUCGGGAAGAACACCAGUGGCGAAGGCGCUCUGCUGGGCCAUAACUGACGCUCAUGGACGAAAGCCAGGGGAGCGAAAGGGAUUAGAUACCCCUGUAGUC